ACUUCUUCUGAAGAGAGCGUCGUAAUUGUUGGUCUCGGUCUCAACUAGGAAUGCCUUGUACGGGUCUUUGGUUCAACAAACCACCCGGAAUACGUCCCUGCCCUUUGUACACACCGCCCGUCGCUACUACCGAUUGAAUGGUUUAGUGAGGCCUUCUGACUGGCGC
This 166-nucleotide ribosomal RNA is filed under the name uncultured Symbiodinium. RNAcentral describes it as "partial Eukaryotic small subunit ribosomal RNA". It matches the Rfam family "Eukaryotic small subunit ribosomal RNA", at positions 1565 to 1721 of the family's 1831-position model. The record is from RNAcentral. Lineage: Eukaryota; Dinophyceae; Suessiales; Symbiodiniaceae.